This 484-nucleotide ribosomal RNA is filed under the name uncultured bacterium. RNAcentral describes it as "partial 16S ribosomal RNA". It matches the Rfam family "Bacterial small subunit ribosomal RNA", at positions 36 to 507 of the family's 1533-position model. The record is from RNAcentral.
AUUUCCCUCUGGCGGCAGGCCUAACACAUGCAAGUCGAGCGGAUGAAGGGAGCUUGCUCCUGGAUUCAGCGGCGGACGGGUGAGUAAUGCCUAGGAAUCUGCCUGGUAGUGGGGGAUAACGUCCGGAAACGGGCGCUAAUACCGCAUACGUCCUGAGGGAGAAAGAGGGGGAUCUUCGGACCUUUCGCUAUCAGAUGAGCCUAGGUCGGAUUAGCUAGUUUGUGGGGUAAAGGCCUACCAAGGCGACGAUCCGUAACUGGUCUGAGAGGAUGAUCAGUCACACUGGAACGUGGACACGGACCAGGCUCCUACGGGAGGCAGCAGUGGGGAAUAUUGGACAGUAGGCGAAAGCCUGAUCCAGCCAUGCCGCGUGUGUGAAGAAGGUCUUCGGAUUGUAAAGCACUUUAAGUUGGGAGGAAGGGCAGUAAGUUAAUACCUUGCUGUUUUGACGUUACCAACAGAAUAAGCACCGGCUAACUUCGUG